Manis javanica (Malayan pangolin) is the source of this 107-nucleotide small nuclear RNA. The record is from RefSeq and is a predicted model, not a curated record. NCBI's taxonomy places the organism in Eukaryota, Metazoa, Chordata, Mammalia, Pholidota, Manidae.
GUGCUGGCUUUGGCAGCACACAUACUAAAACUGAAAAGAUACAUAGGUGAUUAGCAUGACUCUGGUGUAAGAAUGACAUGAGAACUCAUGUAUUCCAUAAUUUCUAA